Molecule: long non-coding RNA, 839 nt
Organism: Felis catus (domestic cat)
Lineage: Eukaryota; Metazoa; Chordata; Mammalia; Carnivora; Felidae
Exons: 2
Source: RefSeq, a predicted model, not a curated record
AAAGCAGGCUCCAGGCUCUGAGCUGUUAGCACAGAGCCUGACACUGGGCUCGGACCCAUGAACCGUGCUAUGACCUGGGCCGAAGUCCGACGCUUAUCUGACUGAACCACCCAGGAGCCCUCCUUUUAUAAGUGACACAAGAGCCUUCCUCUGGCUGUCCUAGCCCUCCCUUAAAGGGCUGGUGAGUUUUUGUGAACUAGACCUCAGCUGCAGUGUUUUGUUUUCUCCUUACUUAGCUAGAAAGGCCCACAAAGCUAGUUAAGGGUUUUAUCCAGGAGUUCCUCGAAAGCUUAGUAGCAUUAAACUCGGUUGACUCAAACAUUGCUUUCUUUGCUCUUUGCUGGAAAACUUCGAAGAACAGUGGCCAGUGUAUGCCAUUGGGGCCCUGGGACUACUGAUGGCUCUACAGAAAAUUCUGGAAGUUUCCAGCAAAUGAUGUGAAAAUCUUAAAAAGCCACCCUCUUUGGGAGUUAGGCUUAAUUCAGCCUUUGUGCUCUGACUUUGGUACAUUGUGGAGCAAAUGCAGAAGGGAUAGGUUAUGUUGGUUUUUAAGAAGAGCGAAUACAUUGUCCUCCAGGGAGUGAGUUGAAACCACAUUAAAGUAACCUCAGACCGGACUUAAUACAGUAUCUCAGGAAGAUGCGUGUUGCUUUGAUUCAUCUAACCCUCCACAGGGUGUCUUGAGAUGGUGGCACUUAAUUUAGUGGAAUGAGUUGUGUUGAUGAGAAGAACUCAGACGGAUUAAGUGAUAUUGACGUUUGCUUCUUUCAAAAAUGAAAUCAGCUGUAAUUCUGAUAUACAAUGACUGCUUAUAAAGUGAAAUAAAAUAGCUAAUUAUG